This 807-nucleotide ribosomal RNA is filed under the name Triticum aestivum (bread wheat). RNAcentral's name for it is "partial small subunit ribosomal RNA". The record is from RNAcentral. Lineage: Eukaryota; Viridiplantae; Streptophyta; Magnoliopsida; Poales; Poaceae.
AUGGUUCGACCCCCUUUCCCACGCCACGAUCCAUCCACGUACGUAACAGCUCAAAGAAAAUACGAGCCGGUUGGAACCCACGAACCCAACGCACGACUCCACUCUCCACACAACUGUUUGCUCCUCCCCAUCUUGAACUCUUUCCCUCCACCGGCACGCGCUUGCUGCCGCCCCACCUCCACCUCAGAUUCUGCCUCACCCCAUCCCGCCCUCUCCCUCUCCCUACACCCGCCGCUUCUCCUCCGUGACGUGUGGCCCAGCCACCGUUCGCCACCUCUCCCUCCACUGCGGCCGCUAGGGCCACGCUCCCGUGCGCACCGUGCAAUGCAAGUCUGCCGGGCCGGAGGGGUUCAAGGAGGAGCUGUGCAGGCCACUGGAGCUUCUCCUCGGGGAUCUCUGGCGGUGGGCGAAGGACCACCCAGAUCUCCCCGCGCUGGUGGAGGUGGUAAUGGACCUCGGCCACACCCGCUCGCCCUCUUCCCUUCAGGCGACUUCCUCCUCUCCCACCGCCUCUCUCAUAAUCCCUUGGCACCGACACGAUCGCAUAUUGGGUCGUUGUUCUCUGCAAACAUGAGUAGUUCUCGGUGCACCCAAGCAGCGCUGCCGACCGCAGCCUUCAACGCCUCCAGUGGACGUUGCCGCGCUCAGCUCAGGGGAGAGCGGUCGCAUCCCACCGCCACAUCGGCUCCGGGCAAAAGCCACGCGGCCGAAUCCCCCCACGCACCACCUCCUGCAGGUCUUCGUCCUUUAGGGGCCUUCAUGCUUCCGCUGCUCCACUUGUUGCACGGACGCAUCGGCUCAGGUUAG